This 350-nucleotide unclassified non-coding RNA is filed under the name soil metagenome. Its description in RNAcentral is "partial contains 5.8S ribosomal RNA, internal transcribed spacer 2, and large subunit ribosomal RNA". The stretch from base 1 to 120 matches the Rfam family "5.8S ribosomal RNA", at positions 35 to 154 of the family's 154-position model. The record is from RNAcentral.
GAUGAAGAACGUAGUGAAAUGCGAUACGUAAUGUGAAUUGCAGAAUUCAGUGAAUCAUCGAGUCUUUGAACGCACAUUGCGCCCCCUGGUAUUCCGGGGGGCAUGCCUGUCCGAGCGUCAUUGCUGCCCUCAAGCACGGCUUGUGUGUUGGGCCCCCGCCCCCCGGUUCCCGGGGGGCGGGCCCGAAAGGCAGCGGCGGCACCGCGUCCGGUCCUCGAGCGUAUGGGGCUUCGUCACCCGCUCCGUAGGCNNNNCCGGCGCCCGCCGGCGACCCCCCCUCAAUCUUUCCAGGUUGACCUCGGAUCAGGUAGGGAUACCCGCUGAACUUAAGCAUAUCAAUAAGCGGAGGA